RNAcentral lists this small RNA (646 nucleotides) under Pan troglodytes (chimpanzee). RNAcentral describes it as "processed transcript". Lineage: Eukaryota; Metazoa; Chordata; Mammalia; Primates; Hominidae. The record is from RNAcentral.
CCUGAACACUCGGAGGUGGCGGUGGAUCUUACUCCUUUCAGCCAGUGAGGAUCCAGCGAGCUGCUCCGUGCCUCCCGCGCCUGUUGGUUGGAAGUGACGACCUUGAAGAUCGGCCGGUUGGAAGUGACGACCUUGAAGAUCGGCGGGCGCAGCGGGGCCGAGGGGGCGGGUCUGGCGCUAGGUCCAGCCCCUGCGUGCCGGGAACCCCAGAGGAGGUCGCAGUUCAGCCCAGCUGAGGCCUGUCUGCAGAAUCGACACCAACCAGCAUCAUGUCCAUGACACUGGGGUACUGGGACAUCCGCGGGCUGGCCCACGCCAUCCGCCUGCUCCUGGAAUACACAGACUCAAGCUACGAGGAAAAGAAGUACACGAUGGGGGACGCUCCUGACUAUGACAGAAGCCAGUGGCUGAAUGAAAAAUUCAAGCUGGGCCUGGACUUUCCCAAUGUGGGGAGACAGAAGAGGAGAAGAUUCGUGUGGACAUUUUGGAGAAUCAGGCUAUGGACGUCUCCAAUCAGCUGGCCAGAGUCUGCUACAGCCCUGACUUUGUGAGUCCCUCCCUGGUCUGGACCAGAAGCCAGGCUUGUAUUCCCAUCUACUCUGGUCCUAUUCACAAUUUGAACUCCUCACUGCUAUUGAUCCUUUGA